RNAcentral lists this long non-coding RNA (6562 nucleotides) under Sus scrofa (pig). RNAcentral's name for it is "lncRNA (ENSSSCG00025031680.1)". Lineage: Eukaryota; Metazoa; Chordata; Mammalia; Artiodactyla; Suidae. The record is from RNAcentral.
AGGGCUAUGUCCCUGUCAUUGUCCACCCGCAGCCCCGGCGCCCUCUCUUUCCCUUCCUCCUAUUCGCCUGCUGGAAGGAUGGCUGCAAAGCCCCCAGGUGGGGGUGGGCCUGCCUUCUAUUCCAGCCAGAGCAGCAGCAACCUGUCUUUUCCUUUCCCUACAGGAAGCUGCACAGUGGGAUGAAGACGUACGGGUGUGAGCUCUGCGGAAAGCGGUUCCUGGAUAGUUUGCGACUGAGAAUGCACUUACUGGCUCAUUCAGGUAGGCAAGGAUACCCUGACCGGCCCUUCCAAGCACAGGCAACUACCCCCUGCCCACCUUUGCGCCCACUCAGAGCAUGGCUAUUCCCACAGCCCACCGGGCCUUGGUCUACCUGGUCCCGUGGGUGCUCCCUGCAGGCUCCUGGAGCAGAGUCCAUCCUGACCCAUCCUCCUGCUCUGCUGGGCUUCCUGGGACAUUGUCAGUACCCAGUGCCCCGUGUGAUCCACCUUCCGAAGUAGACUGCAGUUUCAUUAGCAGAACAGUUGUGGAAUUAGGUUCUCACUGUCUAAUGAAUCUGACUAUUGGGUUCACAUUAUACAGGAGCCUUUAAUUAAAUAGAUAUAGAAAGGUUGGAAUACAAAGCUAGUUACAGCAUGCUCUCUUUUGCAAGUUAAUUUUAUCCAAUUUUAGCAGGGUUGACUCUGCGGCUGCUGGUGAUUUUGCUCCAAUUCGGGCAAAGCUUCUCUGCCCCCGCGAGGCGUGGAGAGGGGAGAGGGCACUGACCUGCAGCAUGGCAGGUGUUCUUGGUGGAGGGAGGGAUUCAGCAGGUCCAGGGCUGCUGCUUCGAGGCCAAGGGGGUCACCUGGGUUCGGUGGGAGAGGCCUCCACACUUCCCUGCCAGGGCCAGGGCUCUUUUCCCUCUGAUUCCCUUGCCUUUCGAUCUUGGGGUCACAUUUUGGGAGAGAAGAGAGAGAGCUGUCUUUUCACUUGGUCUUGCUCUUUCCCAUCUAGCCCACUGCCAAUGUCUGCUCUUCUUUCCCUCGUCGGCCCUCCAGGCGGUUGGCGGUUCGGAGUUGGUAAAUGAGCCUAGGCUUUGGGGUUGGGCAGGUGAAGGUUCACAUCAUAUCUGUGACAUGUGCUGGAUGACCUCAGGCAGAUUUGUCCCCUAACCCCCCGUUUCUGCAUCUGUAAAGGGCGGAUGUUGCUAACUCAUAUCAAGUAGUUAAGAGAAUGUAUGAUAAAGGCAGCUACAGCACGCUCUCUGCCACACAGUCAGUGUUUAAUACAUGACCAUACAGUUGGUGUUUAAUAAAUGUCCGUUGCUUCUGCUUCCACCUUCCUCCCUUUUCCCCAGUCCUAAGUUGUUGUUCUGGAGUGUUGCCAUCACCGUACACCUGUUGAGGACAGUCUGGCCUCCAGCACGGAGAUGCCACUGGGGAGCUUCGUAUGCUUCUGCGAGCCCCUGUCUCGCUGCCCAGCCCCUGGGCUCUCUGCACUGUGUGGGGUGCCACUUUCCCAGGCUUUCACAGCCCUGUGUAAGGUGCCCUGACUCCUCACGUCCCACUCUUCCCUCUUCCAGAUCCAGGGAUGGGGCCACACCAGGCAGCUGUCUCUUGUAUCCCCAUGUCUUUAUGUUCCAUUCCUCCUUCCUAUGGGGCCUCCCCAUACCCACCCCUGGCUCUAUGGAAUUAUCCUGAUCCCUGAACCUGCCCCACAUGGGCACACAGUCCAGGUGUCCCUGUGUUUGGCAUCUGCUUGGUACCCGUACGCUCAUUUUAUUUUUAUAACUCACACCUCUGGUCUUCUUGCUCCCCUUCAUCUUUGUAGGUUUCGGGGGUGGGGGGUGGAGGUGUCAUGAGCUGUCUGCCAACCGGUUGGUGGCCCUCCCCAAACGCAGAGUGCGGCCUCCCAUUUCAUUUGCUCUCUGCUCCAGGCCCCUGUGUGGUCUCGAACCACGGGGUGUUGGACAUUGCAUGUUGGUAGAAGAGCUUGUGGUUACGCUCCCUCGCCCUCGCUGUAACUCAGCCCGGGAAGCUUGCUUUCUCCUUACAGUUUCCUUGCGUCUAGGGUGCUUGCCAGAUGGGUGCGCUAUCACUUUGCUCCGGGUGCCGACCAGCACAGCUGGCUUUCUGCUCUGUGUGGAAUGACCCCUUUCCCUCCACGUGGAGUAACCUUCCCCAGUCUCCCCACAUCCUCCAGGGUCCUUCCCACCGGAAGCAAUCGUGCCUUCUUUGGGGUCCGUAUCUCUUUAGCUGAAGCUGUCUUUGGGCACAAUCUUACUUCUCUUGACUUAACCUCCCCCUACUUGGGAGUCAGGAUUAGGAAUUUGGGCGUCUCCGUCCUGACCAGGUGACCUUGGACAAGAAACAGAAGCCCUCUGAGCCUGAACGCAAGGCCCCCCAUUAGACACUCAGCACUUAGCCGAACACACAAUAGGCUCUCAGAAAUGUAACUUCCCUUUUCCUCUGUUCCCCUGAUAGACUGGAUAAGCUACUUGGGGACCUGAUCUGUUCCCGUGUGUGGAGCAUGUACGUGGCACAUUACCGGAGUCUUGUAGAUACUGGUUGAAUGGAUGACUACAGCCUGGGAGGUCGGGCACCUCAAGGGAAUGCCAUGCUCCAUCCGGGUCUCUCCUGCAGUAGGAAGCAUCUCAGGGCUUCACUGGAGGGCCGCUAGGAGCCCACUGGCCCGAAUGUGCUGUGCUGCCCUAGCCAGGGCUCCGUCAGGAAGCGCACCCCAGCAGUGUCUGUAAGGCGGGCGGGGGCAGCACUGAGGGGAAGAGCUGCUUACACACAUUCGGGUGGGCCCGAGCCCCCCCUUCAGAGAAGAGGAAGGCCUUUGUGUCAGCCCCCGAGAUGCCGCCACUUCAGGGUCCUGUGGUCUCAUACGCAUACCCUAGCAACUUUGGGCCUCUUUUCCUCUGCAGUCUGUGCAAACGGUUCAUCCCUCUGACUUUCACUUGCCGCUGCCCUUGUUAAAGAGGAUUCGGUGAUGGGGAAGGUGUGAUGGGUCUUCACAACAGGGCCUUCAUUCCCCCUGCAGAUAACUCUUAACCUGCUUCAACGCUGUUUUUUCUGGACCCGCUUACCACUCCCCUCCCCAAGCCCUGUGCCAAGAUGGCUUGAAAAUAAAACAGCAGCAAGGGCUUCGUGAGGCUAGAGCACACCCCGAAUUGUUUUUUGCCCUUGCUGUUAAACAGCAGAGGCCCCAGGCCUCCAGAGAAACCUGGCUGUGUCAGGGAGGUGGAGUUGGGGGGCUGGGCCAGCAGUGCCAGCUUUUUUCCUGGAUUCCAGUAGCAGAAGUUGGGUUUUACCCAGUCCAGUUCCUCCCCGAGUCUCACAAUAACAGAACUAUGUGAGGUUUGAGAGGAGACGUUUAAUUAGAUGACCAAGGUUUUCUUGGUGCUGAAGGCUCCGUGCAGGGAGCCGACAGCAAGGCUGGCCCCUAAGGGCCUGUGGUGUGGACCCAGCUUAAGGGAGAUCAGCAGGGCAGAGCAUCACAGAACAACAGUGGUUCCAGAGCCUGGGACCAUGUUUUGAGAGGGGGCAGGCCGUGGAGAAGGGAGUCUGGGCUCCGGAUCGGGGUCAGGAUGCUCCUGGCUUCCCCUCCAUGUGGUUGCUGCCCUGGAAAGGCUCGCUCCUGCUGGUUCUCCUUCUCAGCGGAGCUGCACGGCGCUCACUUCCUCGCGGGCUCUGCGUGCUCGGCGCCCCACCCCCUCUUGGCGAGCGUGGCCCGUGUUUGUUAUUGUAGUUCUGGCGCUGGGCCAGGCCUGGCUGGGCGCCAGCCUUGUGGGUACAGUGUGUACAGUGAGUGCCGAGCCAAGUUUGUCAUCAUACACGAUUAAUUUUUUUUUUUUUCUCAUCUGGUAGGGGUGGGGUGAAGGAGGAGGCAAGACGGAGUUUCUCGGAUGCUUGAGAACAGGCCUGGUUGAAUUCUGCGGAGAUAAUAUUUCCUUCCCAGCUUUCCUUUCUCUCGAAUCAUCUCCCUCCUCUCCUCCACGUUUUCCUAUCCAGGGAAAUCGGCCUGUGUGAGAUCGACACUGUGAGGUCUUAUUUUCAGUGACUGGAAUACCAAAUUUACACUCCUAAAUCAGUUUUCAUUGUGUUGAAAUUGACAAUUUGUUUAAUUAGAAGUUUGCCCUGUAGGAGGCCCUUCUCAGAGACAGUUCUUUCUUUCUCUUUCUCUUUUUUUGCUUUUUUUAAGACCCUGCGUGGUAGAAGUGAACGUUCGGUUUCAAUGAAGUUUUGAUUUCGAUUUGAAUGCCUUCACUAAUCAAGUGUUUAUGAGAUAUACCCGAUGAUCACAAUACGUUGAAAUUAACAAACAAUCACCCCACUCACUAACUAAUGAGAUUGAUCUGGCCGGACCCUGCAUUCUCAGAGGUGGUUUGGGGAUCAAGAGGUUUGGGGCCUUGGCAGAGGGGCUUGGGGUGGGAAGAGUGACCUAUGGGGUUCUCCACAAAGCUGCUCUUUCUGGGAGGGGUUGUGAAUUUGAGGAGGGGGUGCAAGGAGCCGGGGAAGAGACCCAGCCCCUCGUCAUCCCCAGAUCACUCUGCAAUCUCCUACCCAUCGUUUGCUGCUGCCGUAUCCCUUGUGGGAGCAUCCGUGAGCUGCUAUCUCGUGCCCACUCCUUGUUCUCACUUAGGAGAACGUCCUAACCCUGGGAGGUCCAUGCAGAAACCGCACACCUGGGGGAUGAGUUGAGUGGGUUCUGCGAUUUGCCCGGGUCAGGUUUCCCAUUAGGUAGUGUUUCCCACAGCUUGGCCUAACGUCCUGGUGGAUGCUAAGAGAGCACACCCUGUUUUUGCCUUGGCCACAUGCUAUUUAGAGGCUUGCAGAGUUCUGUGGCCAGCUUCUAUUCUGGGAGCAUCAUCCGUCAGGCUCCGUGUGCUUCUUACUGGAGAACAGGCAUCACCCCUGCCCUCCAGGCGCUUACGUCUCAUUGGAGAGAUGUUUGACCGUGAAGUUGGGAUAAAAGAAGGUGGUGUGUGCUGAGUGCCCAGAGUUCUAGAAGGGAUUCGGAGGAGGAAGGGGGCUCCUUGGAGAGGAGUGAAAUUCUGAGAGGACCCCCACCCCCUCCCGCCCCCCUGGGUUACGGGGUCUCUGUGCAGUGAAGCUGGGGAGUGUAGGCUGGGUGUGGGGGAGGAGACAGGGUUUACAGGGGGGGCUGGGGCAAGAUUGCAAGGGCUUUGAAUUGCAAAAUGAUUUGCAUUUGACCUAUAGCGAUUAAAAGCCACAGAGAGAUUGGCUGGGGAAGGGGCACCAGUUCCCUCUGGAACAGAAGGGAUGCUUGGGCUGGGCUGGAGCAGAGAGUUUAUAAGGCCCUUGGAGAAAUGGCGUGAGUGUCCAGGGGCAGGGCUGGAGGGUGGCGUGCCCUGUGCAUAUUGCACUGGUUGGGGGCACGCAGCCUUUCUUUGGGGUCUCCUCCUACACACUCACUCCUCUUCAUCCUUCUCAGGGCACUCUGAGCCAUGGCCAUUGAGAAACCCCCCCAGUACCAGACUCUUCCCCAUAGUCAGAGCCACCACGAAAGGACAUGGUCCUCAGGUGACAGAUUUUCUGAUUCCAGCAGCAGCAUGGUGUGGUCAGGGCAUAGCAUUGGGGGUCGGGUCACCGUCUGGCAGGGAAAAGGGCAGGAGGGGUUGGGGCCAGAAACCAGAUUGGUUCUCUUAUGCUUUCCCCUGUCCUGAUCAGACGGAAGGGGAAAAAAAGAGAGAGAGAGAGAGAGAGAUGUCAAAGCUCUGUGGAUUGCAUUUGUUCCCUUUGUUUUUUUUUUCUUUGGGGAACCCUAAGCUUUGGGGUUCAGGGUCCUUCUUCUCAAAGGCAGAGAGUGUGAGAGGAGCAAGGUAGCUGGAUGGUGCCCUGUGAGUGCGAGGCGAGGUGAGGGUCUCCACGCCCCACAGAGGCAUCGUAGGAUGCAAAGACGGUUUCUCGGGACCUGCAGCUUCCUCCUCUCGUUCCCUGCUCUCUUAUCUGCUGAGAGCAGAAGACUGGGGUUAUCCGGGCAGCUCUGAACCCAGGGUCCACUCCAUUUACUCCGUCUCGGCUCACUCCCUCCUUCUGGUUGGCUUUCUGCCCUCAGGGUAAAACCAAGAGAUACCCAAGAAGGAAACUUCCCAGGUCUCCUCCGUCUCCCUCAGCAUCCCUGCCGAGGGGUGUUGUUUACAGCAAGUGACAGGUCCUGUGAUGGUGUUGGGUGCCAUGCUGGCUCCAGGGCCAUUAAAGUUCCCCCAUCUCUGCACCUCAGUUCGGCUGGAUGUGUGUGUGCCUGGGUCCCCCAGCCCUGAAGAUGUCACAUCAGACCCGCCGAAGAGAGAAAGUUCAGAGAGUUCAUUGCAGGUCAUUGUAUUAAACAGUGUUUUCACUGCUUCUCUCCCACCCCUUCACCUCCAUACAGCCCCCUGUGUGAAAAGGGGGUUCACGGAGUCCUCCCCCGAACACACACAUGUCUCUCCCUCCAUAUGGUGCCUUAGCAGGGGUUUGGGAAGCUCGUGUAUCUGCCCCUCUGGAGCCCAGCCUCUCCCCCUACCCUCCCGUCCCCCAUCCCAAUUUAUUCUAUAAAUUCGUUUCCACAUUAUGUC